CGUGUGUAUGUGUACAUGAUUUCCCACCAGAAUGACCGAUUUACCGCUAUGGAAAAUAGUCCAUAAACGUUCCGUAUAAUGAUAUGCAAAUUCAUAAUUAAUCGUAACUUUUUUUUAUCUUUGUAUAAUAAAUAUAACAAAAUGGAUUCCACAAAAUUGAAAAUAGCAUUAUUUUACGAGGAUUUCUCAUAUUUUUCUCACUUCCGGGCGCAGUAAUACGUAUGUUUUGAAGAAGCUAGAAGAAUUUGACAAAGUGAAUUGAGAAGGAAACGGGUAGAUAUACGUCCUUGUUAUCAGGUAAAACAAUUUUAAUGUACAGAACAAACACAUUUACUUCACACAAAUAGUACAGGCUUAAGCUUUUUAUUGUCUUACACGACUGUAGUCUAGUGUUUAAACGACGGCGGUGACCUACAAGGUACGGGUCAAACUGGGUCAAGUCUAAAUAUGUAAACAUAUCCACGUGCUAUUAGGUAGAAAGCAUCGUAAUGCAAUAUCUACAAUUUUUCCUCUUUUAUACAUCGUUUAACCAGAUAUAUUUCUCCUUUAUACAUCGUUUAACCAGAUAUAUUUCUCCUUUAUACAUCGUUUAACCAGAUAUAUUUCUCCUUUAUACAUCGUUUAACCAGAUAUAUUUCUCCUUUAUACAUCGUUUAACCAGAUAUAUUUCUCUUUCAAAUACACUUAAACACGGGUUGUAUGUACGUAUCUUUUCUAUUGUUUUCUUGUCCUUAUUGUCGAGCUUUCGACUUUAGUCGAAAAAGCGAGACUAAGCGAUCCUACAUUCCGUCGUCGGCGGCGUCAACAAAUAUUCACUCUGUGCCUGUGGUUAAAGUUUUUGAAAUUUUAAUAACUUUCUUAAACUAUACUGGAUUUCUACCAAACUUUGAGAGAAGCUUGUUUAUGAUCAUAAGAUAGUAUCCAGAAGUAAAUUUUGUAAAAAUAAAAUUCCAUUUUUUCCGUAUUUUACUAUAAAUGGACUUAGUUUUUUCUGCGGGGAAACAAAAUAUUCACUCUGUGGUUAAAGUUUUUAGAAUUUUAAUAACUUUCUCAAACUAUCCUUGGUUUGUACCAAACUUGGACAGAAGCUUGUUUAUGAUCAUAAGAUAAUAUCCAGAAGUAAAUUUUGUAAAAAUAAAAUUCCAUUUUUUCCGUAUUUUACUUAUAAAUGGACUUAGUUUUUUCUGCGGGGAAACAUUACAUUCACUCUGUGGUUAAAGUUUUUAGAAAUUUAAUAACUUUCUAAAACUAUCCUGGGUUUGUACCAAACUUGGACAGAAGCUUGUUUAUGAUCAUAAGAUAGUAUCAAGAAGUACAUUUUGUAAAUAAAUAAAUCCAUUUUUUCCAUAUUUUACUUUUAAAUGGUCUUAGUUUUUUCUGCGGGAAACCAUUACAUUCACUCUGUGGUUAAAGUUUUUAAAAUUUUAACAACUUUCUUAAACUAUCAUGGGUUUGUACCAAACUUGGACAGAAGCUUAUUUAUGAUCAUAAGAUUGUAUCCAGAAGUAAAGUGUGUAAAAAGAUUACUCCGUUUUUUCUGUAAUUUACUUUAAAAUGGACUUAGAUUUUUUACAAUCAUAAAAUAGUAACAAGAGGAAUAUUUUUAUUGAUUUUUUUCCUCAUUGUUGUUGAGCCUGCGAUUUACAGCAAAAAUAGGCGAGACACUGGGUUCCGCGGAACCCUUACAAAUUUUUAAAGUUCAUUUGUUGAUGUUUAAAUAUUUUUGAACGACUGAACACAGGAGUGAAUGAAUGCAACAAUUAUAUAUACUGAAGACUUGGGCUGUACAAUGAUAGUGUACGUAUUUAGUUAAUUUAGGAUGUAAUGACAGGAAUUCACGAGUUAUGCCUCAGGCUUUUUGAAAAAAUAUCAAUGACAAUGUAAACAGGAACAAAACAUUGACACGAAUGAUGCUCUCUUCUUUGUUAUAGUUAUUUGGGUAUGUGUGUUGCACAAGUUUCAACAAAACUUAAGUUAUAAAACUUUUUUUCAGGGCACAAACCCACUUUAAAGAGACUUGUCUACUGCCAUACCCAUCCUAUUUUCAUGCACCAUUUGCAAGCAAGAGACUGAAUGGUUUGCAAAAUUAAAAAUCAGGACCGUGUCCAAUUAAAACAAAAGAACUAAACUGGAUGAAUAUUGUAGGAGAAAUCUAGAGGAAAGUUUUGAUUUGUGAAAUUGGUUUUCCUGAAAAGUCAUUCAUCCUAGCCUGCAGGAAGGAACUAUAACUGUCCACCACCAACUGACGAGCUAAUGUUGAGCUUCACAUAUGGAAUUACUCAAAUACCAUCAAUGUCUAUGUUUUCAGCACAGAUUUCACAAGUUAUGACACAGCUGUGCUUUUUUUAUACCUGUUAAAGAGUUGUAUACUAAAUUUUAUUUUUUUAUCAAUAAAUAUAUAUUGUGUCA
This 2409-nucleotide long non-coding RNA is filed under the name Mytilus galloprovincialis (Mediterranean mussel). Lineage: Eukaryota; Metazoa; Mollusca; Bivalvia; Mytilida; Mytilidae. The record is from RNAcentral.